Molecule: ribosomal RNA, 468 nt
Filed under: uncultured archaeon
Lineage: Archaea
Description: partial 16S ribosomal RNA
Rfam family: Archaeal small subunit ribosomal RNA
Source: RNAcentral
UCGGUUGAUCCUGCCGGCAACCUGACGUACGGUAUGUACCUCACACGNCCAGCGAAAGCUCGUUGUACAAUACAAGGCGGACUGGCUCAGNUAACACGUAGUUAACUUAACCUAUGGAUGGGAAUAACCUCGGGAAACUGAGAAUAAUACCCAAUAACAAGUGCCGGAANAAUUGGGCCUGUGGUUGAAAUGAUUUAUCGCUGUAGGAUGGGACUGCGGCCUAUCAGCUUGUUGGUGAGGUAAUGGCCCACAAGCAUACAANGGGGUUACGGGCUCCUGGAGAAGGAGGGGCCCGNGAGAUGGGUACUGAGACACGGACCCAGGCCCUAUGGGGCGCAGCAGGCGAGAAACCUUGCAUUGGUUGCCNGAANAAAAAANGNCACGACAAGGUUAANUCCCGAGUGGNUUCCNUUUCUGCUAAAGGAGUCUUUUGUCNAGUCCGUAGAAAUCACUGAUGAAUAAGGGGNG